CUUACCGUAGGACGCAGCCAAUAAGGUUGAACGUUACAUAAAUGAACAAGAAGAAGAAGAAGAAGAAGAAGAAUCGCUUUGUGAACUAAAUCUCAGAUUGGAAUACCCAUUGCUAGACCGAUUGAUGUCUGCUGUUGGAAUUUGCAAGGUUGAAGAAUAUCCUAACUCCACAGCAGCACCAUGUUGCGGUAAAUGAUAGCGGGGAACUCACCAGAUGUUAAUUCAUUGGAGAGUUCUGAAUAAUCAUUGAGAAAACCAUAACCUUUCCUGUCAGAUUAUUGUCAAUACCACUCAAGGAUCAACUCUCCUCCUGUGUGACAAGUUAUACCAACCUUGUGUGAAUACCAACAAGGUCACACUUAGAAUAUUGUGGAGAUUUAAGGAUUGGAGCUAAUGCAGAAAACAAGAGGACCAGUUUUACAAUUAUGAGGAGAGUCACAAAACUGAGCUGAUUUAUUUCAGUAGGAAGAAGACUGAAGACAGAUCUAGACGUGAUGGGAGUGGGAUAUGCCCAAAUAGAUGUGAUUUUAUGCUUCUUUCUAAAGCAAUCCUUUGGGAUUGAGGGCGAUUUACUGCCACUCUGGUUCUGUGCACACUCUGGUGGCUGAUAAGGCCAAUAUUGGAACCACAGACUAUUCCACAGGGCAUAGAGUUUAUUGUCAUGUAUCCCAGAUAGGACAAUGAAAUUCUUGCUUUGCUUCAGCACAACAGAAUAUUGCAAGCAUAAAUAAUACAGAACAGAUCAGUGUGUCCAUAUACCAGUGAAUAUUAUGCACAUACACACAUAAAUAAGCAUAUAAAGUGCAGUAGGCUAAUUAAAGUUCAGAUUUUGUUUGAGUUUAAUUUAAUAGUCUGAUGGCUGUGGGGAAGCAGCUAUUCCUGAACCUGGUUGUUGCAGAUUUCAGGCUCCUGUACCUUCUACCUGAAGGCAGUGGAGAGAAGAGUGUGUGGCCAGGAUGGUGUGGGUCCUAGAUGAUGCUGCCAGCCUUUUUGAGGCAGUGACUGUGGUAGAUCCCCUCGAUGGUAGGGAGGUCAAAGCCGAUGAUGGACUGGGCAGUGUUUACAACUUUUUCAGUCUUUUCCGCUCCUGGGCGCACAAGUUGCCGAACCAAUCCAUGAUGCAAGCGGUCAGCCUGCUCUCUACUGUGCACCUGUAGAAGUUCGAGAGAGUCCUCCUCGACAUACCGACUCUCCGUAAUCUUCUCAGGAAGUAGAGGCGCUGAUGUGCUUUCUUUAUAAUUGCUCAGUUCUGGGACCAGGAGAGAUCUUCGGAAAAAUGCACGCCCAGGAAUUUGAAGCUCUUGACCCUUUCCACCAUUGACCCGUUGAUAUAAACGGGACUGUGGGUCCCCAUCCUACCCCUUCCAAAGUCCACAAUCAGUUCCUUGGUUUUGCUGGUGUUGAGAGCCAGGUUAUUGUGCUGGCAUCAUUUGAUCAGGCGGUCGAUCUCACUUCUAUACUCUGACUCGUCUCCAUCAGUGAUAUUUCCCACAAAAGUGGUGUCGUCGGUGAACUUGAUGAUGGAGUUCACACUGUGUCCAGCUUACACAGUUAUGAGUAUAGAGUGAGGACAGCAGGGGGCUGAGCACGCAGCCUUGAGGUGCUCCCGUGCUGAUUGUUAUCGAGCCUGACACAUUUCCACCAAUGCGAACAGACUGGUGUGUGAAUGAGGAAGUCAAGGAUCCAAUUACUACAAUGUGGAAACAGGCCCUUCGGCCCAACUUGCCCACACCAGCCAAAAUGUCCCAGCUACAUUAGUCCCACCUGUCACCAUUUGAUCCAUAUCCCUCCAAACCUGUCCAUUCCAUGUACAUGUCGAACUGUUUCUUAAAUGUUGGGAUAGUCCCUGCCUCAACUACCUCCUCUGGCAGCUUGUUCCAUACAUCCACUACCCUUUGUGUGAAAAUGUUACCCCUCAGAUUCCUAUUAAAUAUUUUCCCCUUCAUCUUAAACCUAUGUCCUCUGGUCCUCGAUUCACCUACUCUGGGCAAUUGACACUAUGGGUCUACCCAAUCUAUUCUUCUCAUGGUCUUAUCCACCUCUAUAAGAUCACCCCUCAUUCUCCUGCGCUCCAAGAAAUAGAGCCCCAGCCUACUCAAUAUCUCUGUCUAUAGCUCAGACCCUCUAGUCCUGGCAACAUCCUUGUAAAUCUUCUCUAUACCCUUUCCAGCUUGACAACAUCUUGUGGUACUUUUUAGUUUUUUUGCUGUCUUUUUAAAAAAUUGUAGAAUUUAUGUGCAAUUUAUGUUUGUGUAUCUGAGUUUAUAUGCCCGUGUUGCUGCUGC
This is a long non-coding RNA of Leucoraja erinaceus (little skate), 2285 nucleotides long. RefSeq lists it as uncharacterized. Lineage: Eukaryota; Metazoa; Chordata; Chondrichthyes; Rajiformes; Rajidae. The record is from RefSeq and is a predicted model, not a curated record. The transcript is spliced from 3 exons.